This 424-nucleotide ribosomal RNA is filed under the name uncultured bacterium. RNAcentral's name for it is "bacterial SSU rRNA". It matches the Rfam family "Bacterial small subunit ribosomal RNA", at positions 355 to 776 of the family's 1533-position model. The record is from RNAcentral.
UGAGGAAUAUUGGACAAUGGAGGCAACUCUGAUCCAGCCAUGCCGCGUGCAGGAAGACUGCCCUAUGGGUUGUAAACUGCUUUUAUACGGGAAGAAACACCCCCACGUGUGGGGGCUUGACGGUACCGUAAGAAUAAGCACCGGCUAACUCCGUGCCAGCAGCCGCGGUAAUACGGAGGGUGCAAGCGUUAUCCGGAAUCAUUGGGUUUAAAGGGUCCGUAGGCGGACAAUUAAGUCAGAGGUGAAAGUCUGCAGCUCAACUGUAGAAUUGCCUUUGAUACUGGUUGUCUUGAAUUAUUGUGAAGUGGUUAGAAUAAGUAGUGUAGCGGUGAAAUGCAUAGAUAUUACUUAGAAUACCAAUUGCGAAGGCAGAUCACUAACAAUAUAUUGACGCUGAGGGACGAAAGCGUGGGGAGCGAACAGG